This 399-nucleotide unclassified non-coding RNA is filed under the name soil metagenome. Its description in RNAcentral is "partial contains 5.8S ribosomal RNA, internal transcribed spacer 2, and large subunit ribosomal RNA". The stretch from base 1 to 122 matches the Rfam family "5.8S ribosomal RNA", at positions 35 to 154 of the family's 154-position model. The record is from RNAcentral.
GAUGAAGAACGUAGCGAAAUGCGAUACUUGGUGUGAAUUGCAGAAUCCCGUGAACCAUCGAGUCUUUGAACGCAAGUUGCGCCCGAAGCCAUUAGGCCGAGGGCACGCCUGCCUGGGUGUCGCACAUCGUUGCCCCAAUGCCUCAGCCCUGUUGCAAGGCAUGGCAAAGGGGCGAAUGUUGGCUUCCCGCGAGCGAUGCCCUCACGGUUGGCUGAAAAUCGAGUCCGUGGUGGAGUGUGCCGCGAUGGAUGGUGGUUGAGUAAAAGCUCGAGACCGAUCAUGGGUAACUCCACCAGAAUUGGGCUCGGUGACCCACAUGCGUCCCUUGGAUGCUCCCUAAGGAGACCUCAGGUCAGGCGGGGCUACCCGCUGAGUUUAAGCAUAUCAAUAAGCGGAGGA